AUAUUUUAAGAUUAUAUUGUUUUAUAUCAGUUAUUUUUUAUAAUUUUGAUUUUUUUAAAAAAAAUUGUAAAAAUAUUUCCAAAAAUAUUAAAUACUAAAUUUAAUUUAAAAAAUAUGUAAAAUAUGUAUUUAUUUUUGAAAUUAUAGUUUAUAAAUUAUUGUAGAAUAAUUUUCAUUUAUAAAAAUAUAAAUAUUUUUUAUUAUAAUACUUGAAUAACUUUCUACAUUAAUUUUAGUAGAAUAUU
This 245-nucleotide transfer RNA is filed under the name Pneumocystis jirovecii. RNAcentral's name for it is "tRNA-Pseudo(TTT)". Lineage: Eukaryota; Fungi; Ascomycota; Pneumocystomycetes; Pneumocystales; Pneumocystaceae. The record is from RNAcentral.